Non-coding RNA from Nicotiana sylvestris (wood tobacco), 96 nucleotides. The record is from Rfam. Lineage: Eukaryota; Viridiplantae; Streptophyta; Magnoliopsida; Solanales; Solanaceae.
CCGACCUUAGCUCAGUUGGUAGAGCGGAGGACUGUAGUUGGGGUGUAAAACCUAUCAGAUAUCCUUAGGUCGCUGGUUCGAAUCCGGCAGGUCGGA